RNAcentral lists this transfer RNA (52 nucleotides) under Balneola sp. Its description in RNAcentral is "tRNA-Ser". It matches the Rfam family "tRNA", at positions 21 to 71 of the family's 71-position model. Rfam says of the family: Transfer RNA (tRNA) molecules are approximately 80 nucleotides in length. Their secondary structure includes four short double-helical elements and three loops (D, anti-codon, and T loops). Lineage: Bacteria; Pseudomonadati; Balneolota; Balneolia; Balneolales; Balneolaceae. The record is from RNAcentral.
GAGCAACGGUUUUGUAAACCGUCGGUCGUCGGUUCGACUCCGGCUACUGGCU